AAGUCGUAACAAGGUUUCCGUAGGUGAACCUGCGGAAGGAUCAUUACCAAUCCAAAUUAUAACAACCACUGUGAACUUGUCAACGUCUUUUGGGUGAAGAAAGCAGUCAAAUGCUUUCUAUCACCCAACUGUUAUAAACCCCUUAAAAUACUUGUGUUGAAUUUAAAACUCUUGCGUUACAAUUCUUUAAGAAUUGAACAAUAGAAUUAAACAAAAACAUAAAUACAACUUUUAACGGUGGAUCUCUUGGCUCAU
Molecule: unclassified non-coding RNA, 255 nt
Filed under: fungal sp.
Lineage: Eukaryota; Fungi
Description: partial internal transcribed spacer region
Rfam family: Eukaryotic small subunit ribosomal RNA (bases 1-46)
Source: RNAcentral